UGGUUAAAAAGCUCGUAGUUGGAUCUCAACAGCCUUGAAGCGAUUAACUUUGUAGUUUUACUGCUUUAUAGGCUGUGCUUUUGCUGGAGGUUUAGGGGUGCUCUUGAUCGAGUGUCUCUGGAUGCCAGCAGGUUUACUUUGAAAAAAUAGAGUGCUCAAAGCAGGCUAAAAUGCCUGAAUAUUCGUGCAUGGAAUAAUAGAAUAGGAUGUCGAUCCUAUUUUGUUGGUUUUCGGGACUCGACAUAAUGAUAAAUAGGGACAGUCGGGGGCAUUUGUAUUCAAACGACAGAGGUGAAAUUCUUAGACCGUUUGAAGACAAACUACUGCGAAAGCAUUUGCCAAGAAUGUUUUCAUUAAUCAAGAACGAAAGUUAGAGGUUCGAAGGCGAUUAGAUACCGCCCUAGUUCUAACCAUAAACGAUGCCAGCUAGCGAUCUGCCUGCGUUUUUACUGUAGACUGGGCAGGAAGCUUCCGGGAAACCAAAGCAUUUGGGUUCCAGGGGAAGUAUGGUUGCAAAGCUGA
RNAcentral lists this ribosomal RNA (522 nucleotides) under uncultured marine eukaryote. RNAcentral describes it as "SSU rRNA". It matches the Rfam family "Eukaryotic small subunit ribosomal RNA", at positions 616 to 1140 of the family's 1831-position model. The record is from RNAcentral.